This 404-nucleotide ribosomal RNA is filed under the name unidentified nematode Sourhope farm. RNAcentral's name for it is "SSU rRNA". It matches the Rfam family "Eukaryotic small subunit ribosomal RNA", at positions 58 to 458 of the family's 1831-position model. The record is from RNAcentral. Lineage: Eukaryota; Metazoa; Nematoda.
UCUAAGUAUAACCUGCCAGACAGGGAAACUGCGUACGGCUCAUUACACCAGCCUUAAUUUACUUGACCUUGACAACCUACUUGGAUAACUGUGGUAAUUCUAGAGCUAAUACAUGCACCAAAGCUCCGAUCCUCGCGGAGAGGAGCGCAUUUGUUCGCCACAAAACCAAGCGCCCAUCUGGGCGUCCAGUGCUGAACCAGAACAACUCAGCUGAUCGCACGGUCUUGUACCGGCGACGUGUCUUUCAAGUGUCUGCCUUAUCAACUUUCGAUGGUAGUGUACCUGACUACCAUGGUUGUGACGGGUAACGGAGGAUAAGGGUUCGACUCCGGAGAAGGGGCCUGAGAAAUGGCCACUACGUCUAAGGAUGGCAGCAGGCGCGCAAAUUACCCACUCUCAACGCG